RNAcentral lists this non-coding RNA (26 nucleotides) under Cricetulus griseus (Chinese hamster). Lineage: Eukaryota; Metazoa; Chordata; Mammalia; Rodentia; Cricetidae. The record is from RNAcentral.
CAGGAUUUGAAGAAAAAUACUUUCCA